GCGAGCGGAGUGACGGAGCCAACAGCGCCUCGUAGCCGGCGGUCGCGGCGGGUAGCGAGGCGGCCGGGGGCAGGGCGGCCGAAGCUGGCAGUGGUGUCAGAUGAGGAAGGUGAGACACAGAGAGGUCAAGUAACUCUCUUGAUGUCACACAGCUGCUUUAAAUCCAGGCCGUCUGACACCAGGACAGACAAUAUCUGAGCCACGUUGUGGGGCAGGAAGGAGCCGGUCUGGGGAAGAGGAACCCGCUACAUCCACGUCCACUUUGGUGUCCUGAGGUAGCAGGUCUGGAAUGAGGGCAGCUUUUCCCGCCCGUCUCCCUGCACAGCAGCAUGUCAGCUUGCAGCAGGAGCAUUAGGAGAAGAAACAGAAACCCACUAGCAGCUGCUGAGACAGGCCCACAGUGGGGAAGGAGGGGCAUAGAAGGCCCCAACUUUGGCUUUCAGGAGCAGGAUCCAGCUGGCAAGGUAUGGGGGCUAACCUAGCUCACCCAACCUAACCUCCAUGCUACUGUCUUGCCCCACCUCUCUUUGGAGGACCAGAGUGCCUUCCUGAAAAGACCAUGACUGGGGUCAAAGUUCCCUGCAGAACCCCUUCUUCUCCAAGGGCCACUCCCUGACUCCCAGGAGACCCCCUUCCAGGGGCUGUCCAGGGCUUUGGCUAAUCAGUUCACCCCUACCCCCACCCCUACCUGUUUCCCCCUCUUCAUGGGAAAUAGACCUCUCUGCCCACAGGGUCAGAGCCACUUUCCCACAGGGAUCAGACGUCCUUAGUCCUGGACAUUAUACUCCUUCCACAAGGAUCUGCUCACUUCUUCCCUCCUAUCCACCUCUGUCCUGGUUUGGCAUCUGGGGCCCCGUGUGCUCCUCUGCACUUCUGACUGAGCCAGAGGUCAGACGGACAGAAUUUUGGCUCUAGAACCACCCCUCGCCUCGCGUUCUGGCCUGGCGGCACCCCGGGGGAACACUGGUGAGCUAGGCGGCCAAAGCCCCUCCUCCGACCCGCAGAGGCCCCGCCCCCUCCCCUUCCUCCGGGCCUCCGCGGCGCCCUCGCUCCUCGCGGUACCCCCUCUGGGGGCCCUCCGCCGCUGGGCCGAGGCCGGAGCCACGGCCGCCGCCACCGCCGCCGCCACCGCCGCCGCCACCGCCGCCGCCGCCGCCGCCGCCGCCAGGGAGGGGGAGGGGGGUCAUAAAUAACCCGCGGGGCGGCUCGGCCUGAGCAGCGCAGACUGUGACCCGAGACGUCUCCGGGGAACGCGGGGCAGCCCGUAGACCCUGCUGCCCCCAACCCGGGGCUCGGCCAGCCAUGACCGCCUCCUCUGGCGCUAUCUGACCCUGUCCACAACUGGCGUUCCUGCCAGAAGCCUCCCUCCCAUCCUGGAGUGCCUACCUACCCUCAUCCCCAGACUGCUCCCCUUAAAGCCCCCUUUUGAGCCAUUCCUUCACCAAGUAAUCAUUUAUUGAGCACCAGAUGUGGAACCCCGGGAAGAGAGAUGGGUGAGGUUGGAAGAAGAGAGAUGCAGAGGAGACCUGCUCCCUCAGCCUUAGUCUUCCUGAGCUCAUCUAGGGUGACUGUCGGGGUGGGAGAGCAGGCCCAGACAUGCCAGACACAGGAAGGCAUGUAAGGACAGAUCACACAGGUGCGGGCACAGCUGACACAGCUGUGAGGAAGCACAUCCACGGGUACACAUACAUGUGCCCAAAGCCACCAACAGAUGCAUGCAUUCUCAAAAGCUCAUGCCUAUACGCUUCCAUAUGCACGCACAGCAGCUCCCCAAGCUGCACACACAGCACAGAGGCUGACAUCCUCACCACAAACAUGCACAGACAGUAUGUGUGUUAACUUACAUCCAAGAUCAAAGACACCACCAACACCUGUGCAAAAGCAUACAUAGACACACAGGCCUGCAGCAUGAGCACCAGACGGAUAUAGCCGUCAUACCCAAGACAACAUGUCUGGAGCAAGGGUCUGCUGGCUGGCAGCAGUGUUCCACUCGGAAGGGUUAGCCUGGGAGGUCAGAGGUCAGUGGCGAAUCAGCUAGGGCUCCUUUACACUCCCUGCUAGAGUGGUCAGAGCUUCCAGGAAUGUGUCGGUUCCCAGCUGCAGGUCAGACACAGGAGGGGCUGCCCUGCUAAGACUUGCCUUGCCUUCUGCCCGCCGUGAGCUGGCUGCAGGCCAUGCCUCAGGAAUAGACAUGUUUCCGAGGCCAGCCUGUUCACCGACCUUAACUGAUGCUAUAUAAAGGAGUAGAGAGAUAGGGCUUAGGGUCAACCCUACAUUCCCCUGUGGGUUCGCAGACUCGGGGCACUGACAGGGCACACGCUGCCAGAGCAUUGGUAACAUAUACCAUGAUAUUCACCUGCUGCAUCACGCAUAAGCAGACACACACACACACACACACACACACACACACACACACACACAGUGACCCCAGGCAAAAACACAGUGACACAGGUGAGCUUGACACACCACAGGGUGCACUGGAUACACUCGGAAGCCAUACAGAGGGAGUUGUUGGUCUGGCAACACGAAUGGGAGACCUGGCUACCACUGGCUCUGCAAGCCAAGUUCCUCUGCAGGAGGAGUGAAGACACCCGCUCACUGGCGUCACCGGGGACAGAGAGCAGCACCUGCCUCGGGCAGCCUGUCACGUGCUAUGGCCCCUCUUGGGCCUGGGUUGUGCUGGAGUUAGGCUGACACAGGUGGUAAGGGUGGCAGACCCUUCAGUGGCCUGAGAUGUGGGCCCUCCUAGCCAGCCACUGAAUGACCCAGCCUUCUCCGCCCUUCUCAGGACCUUACUCUCUCCAUCUGAAAAUGAGAUAGGGGUUCAAAAUCUGUGGGGUCCUUUGGCCCGGAGCAGAGCAGUCAGGGUGAAAUGUGGCUACAGGUGCCCUGGUCAGCACGGUGAGGCAGGCCUAGCACACUCUUGAUGCUUUCUCCAUAAAUGGGCCCAGAGUACAGGAGCUGGGGGAUGGGUUCACCCCAAGGUAGGGCCAAGCAAAGGGCAGGAAUAGAGUCUUCUAGGGCCCCCGGAGACAGAAGAAUCUGUCCCAAAGAAUGGGCACGUGGGCUGGUUCCACCCCUUUCUGUCCCUGCAAACAUCACCUGGUCUGCUGCCUGGACAUGGCCUGGGGUGGGAAGGGGGUCGAGGGGACCCCUGGCUGCAGUUGUUGUCCUGCUGUGUGUCCAUAGGGUUGUGGUCCUUAUCCCUCAUGGCACAAGCCACUGCAGCACUGUAAUCGUUCGGAUGUCAGGUCAGGGAGAUGACCAGAGUGGAGUGGCAGAGCUAUCGGAGUGGUGCUGCACGCAAACUCAGUUCCAGUCCCAUUACACCCCCGCGUCUCGGGAGUGUGCCAGCAGGGGCUGAUUGUGAGGGAAGAGCAGACCCUUACCCGAGAGUGUAGGGCUACCCAUGUGCUCCCGUGUGUCUAUGCUGGGUGCUUAUGCGUGAGUGUGCUUUCCUCCUCCUGUGACCACGGUCCUGGUGCUCACGCUCAGUGCAGAUCCCACAUGAAGGCCUUGGGGACCCAUGCUCCUCCCUGUGGGGGUGUAGGCCCUGGAGGGUCAAUCCCAGCUGUGCUGGUCACAUGUUCACUCUUGGCCUGCUCACCUGUUUUGGCCUGGGAAGACCUGUGAGCAUUCGGAACCUACCGCGGUCCUGCUAGAGACACUAGGAUGUGCCACCCUCAGUCACAGGGCAGCAGUCAGGCCUCUGGGCGGGAGGAAUGGGCUCAGGUGGGCCUCUGCCAGGACUGUCAGUGGAAGUUGAAGGAGAAAGGACGUUCAAGUGGGGACCCUCGGCACAGAAAUCCUGGAGGAAGAGAGAAGCUGGAGGUAAGGGGCCAGUUGGUGGAGGGCUAGGAGGGUGGGUGGCUGGAAGGUACUGCCCCCAGGCCCAGCUCUGAGAGACUCCCAGCCUCCACAGCGAGCCCAGACUGGCCCUGGAAGUGACUGUUUAUGUUGGACUUCCUGCUAACUGUGAGCUCCCUGCGAGCAGGACUUUUGUUUGUUUUCUGACAUACCCACCACGUGUCAGCAUUUGAGGCUUUUUACAGGGCUCCACCCUGGUGUGGCCCCCUCCCGGCUUGGCCUCCCUGGCCUGAGGCAGCCCCAGGCCUGCUAACCUCUUCUCCCAGCACCUGCCCACUGGGCUUCUGCCCAGGCAGGACUCUGACUACCUUCCUAUCCCCAGAAGCUUCUUAAGGUUUGGCCACAGACAUCGUCUUCUUCAGAGAGAGAGCGAAAACUCCCAAGUCUGGGGGAAUCUCUUGGCCCGGCCUCAUCUACCAUGCUCCAGCAGGGUUGCAACUCUGUGCCUGCCUACCCUGGGAGGAGGGGUGGGUUGUUUGGGCGUACUUCACGCACAGUCCCACCAUCAGGGUCACCCAGAUGACCAACAGUCACCUUGUCAUCAUUGAUUCGUCACAUCAGGGAUUUUCAGAAGUAGCAUGCUGAGGCGGUCAGUGAGUUUUACUGUUUCACAGCUGCAGCCCAGGCUGGCUUUCUGAGGUGAUGACUUAGCCUGACCCCAUCCAAGGCCCAGUCCUCCUUGCAAGGCUUGGUUGAGUUGGUGAUAUGCCUGCUGAGUGCAAUGAUGUCGUUGUGGGUGCCCGUCUGGGUAUGAGGGUUCCUUUAUUACUGCAACUGUCCGCGUCCUCCACCGGGUCAUUUCAUCUUCCGCGUUGCUGUCUGCGGUUUCACAACAGAGUAGCUCUGCACAUUUUGCCAUGAGAGCGGGAACUCUGUGAUGUCCGACCCUUUGAAGUUCUGCACGGUGCCCCAGGUGCAGCCCCUGAAGUGUGUUGGACUGAAGAGCACAGCCUGGUGUGGGCUGAGACACUGAGCAGAACCCGCCUGCGGAGGCCGGACCCACACCUGCCGUGGGCAGGGGAAGGGCAGCGAUUCCAGGGUUCUGUCCAAGGCCACAACUUGGCACUCUCUCCAGGGCGUUUAACGAAGUCCCAGGUUGGUCCUGGGGGCCUUCCCACCUGUAGACUGGCCAGGCUGCUUGGAGGCCCAUGGAAAGUGCGAGCAGAAGAGACACCUGGCAGGACUGGGGCCGGUCAGAGGGGGUUUUCCCUCUGCAUAGAGGAGGCUGGGCAUCCCCAGAUGUGGAGUCCUCAUGCCCUGCUCAGAACAAAGGAGCCUGACCUUUCAUGCUCUGUGUACAUGCAGAUGCUAACAGAUGUCAGCGUGCUGCAGACUCCUUCCAGCAGAACAGAUAGACCGUUCUUUCAGACUGGGUGGCCUUGCAAAAACCCGAGUUUGCCACAUGUUAGCAGUUGAGUAACUGUGUGUCUGAGUCCAGCAGGUGUGUGUGGGCUCCCGGGCUCCUGGGGCUUCAGAGACAGGAUGGGGUGAUUCAUGACUGGUGAGGGGCAAAGCCAGGACUUGGGCUGGGUCAUCCCAUCUUCCAGCCGGGAACAUGGCCCUCAGCAACCUUGUCAGCUUCUGCAUAAACCUUGUUUGGCAUCAACACAUUGGGAUUUUCCUUGGUGCUUCUAGUUGACGCCUUGCUAUGUAUUAGAUGAGCUGCACUCAUGGGCCCUGAGACCCUCCUCUCAGCUCAGCCUCCCCUCUCAUUCCUUCCUUCAGGACCCUCUUCUGCCUCACCCACCCCUCAAGCAUAGGAUGGGUGGGGGGAUGGAUUGGUGGGUGAACGAGUGUAUGAUGGGUGAAAGGGUAAGUGGGUUAGGCUUCCACUCUAGGCACCCUUCUCUUACGUAUGUACUUCUUUACCGGUUAUGGAAUCUGAAAGUCUAUCUUCAGUCCAGACGCUCAAGAGUCUAUAGCCUGCCAUAGGCAUCCACCCCAUGGUCCCCUGGGUCCCUUUUCCACCAUCAUGCUGUCAUGCCUACCUCUCUUGCAGUCACUGAGCUGGCACUACACUCCUCCCCAUGAGCCAAGCAGCUAGCUUCAUCUAUGCUCCCUUCUAGAUUCCUCUCACUGCUGAAUACCUAACCUGGCCCCUCUCACCUAUCAUAUUUCUCUGAUACUCCCAGACUCUGCCUGCACUCACCCAGUGCCUGAUGGGCACAUCUGGCCAACUUGUUCUCCAGGGGCUCCUUUGGGAAUAGUCCAGGACCCCUGGCCUCCAGGCCUUGCCUCUUCCCCAGGGCCCAACUUCCUGUUUCCUUGUCUCCCCUCAGUGUCUCUGAGUGAGGCUGAGUUGUUUCCUCUGCCCAGGAGUGCCACUCCCUAGAAUCACUAACCAAUGGCCCUGUUCCCACCCGUGUAGCACCUUUUGUCUUUGGGAGUCCUUUCCUCCAUUGAAAAGUUUCAAAUUAUAACUUAUAACUCUAUUGGUAUAAAGAUAAAUAUAGCCCAUGAUAGAUUCAUUCUUCAAUAUUCAUUGUUAUUCUUUUUUCAUUCUGGUUUUAAGGGAAAUUAAAAGUAAAAUUUUUGUGGUCUCUAAUAAUACCAGGAGUCCAGGUUCUGUGCUUCCCUCACCUGGUGGUAAUGUUGGCCCUGCCACCACCUACUUAUCUUUAAGACUCACAGCAGCACCCCCUCCUCCAAGAAGCCUCCUAGGAGUACACUCCAUUCCUGUCAGGGUCCCCUGUACCCCAGGACACCAGCACAUACCCUGGCGCCACAGAUUUACUCCUGUGCUGCUGAGGCCCUGGGCAGAUGAGGGUGCUCAGAGGGGCCAGGUGAAGUCCCCUUGGGGAUGCUGAUUUGGGUGACCUCACUUAGAAGCAAUCCUGGCUGGCUGGUGCAGAGGCUGGGCUGGAAGUAUCAGUAGCAGAGAGAGGUGGUAUUGGCAGAGACUGAGAUUCGGAAGAAAGACUUGACCUCUAGAGAGGGGCGGGCAAGGCCAGCAGAUAUUAUUCCCAGUUCUGGGUGGCAGGAUCCCAGGCCCAGGGUGGCCCAUAGCUGCCAAGACCUUCCUGUGUCCGCCUGUGGGGACUCUGGACAGGUCGUGUCUGUACCUGCAGGUAGAGCCGGACCCCUCAGCCCACACGGAGGCUCCAGGGUCCCACCAGUGAGGGACAACGAGGGUCCCUCUGGACCACAUCUCUGGAGGCAGGGGCUUGACUUCCCUCUUUCUGCCCCCCCCCCCCCGCAGCCAUUUGGCCCCCAGAAUUCCCAGGCAAGUCCCGCUUCCCCCAACCCCCAAACCCCACUCUGGCUCUGGCUGGGUUCCCAAAGGUCCACCAGGGAGAAAGGGGCACAGACAUACGCAUGCCUGGGUGCACACCGGGUCUCUGUCUUGGCCCCUGAGUGCCCAGACUGGGGAUUCAUAGUGGCUGCUCAGUCUGGUGCUCUGGGGAUGGGGAUCUAAGGGCAGUUACAGACCAGGUCCAGGGGAUGCCUCAGUUCCUGGUGCCUGCCCAUGACGACAGGAAAGACUGAUCCCUGGGCACCACCAGGCUACUCUGAACAGCACAGGAGGGUUCCAGAGCAGAGGACUCACCCCUCCCCCCCAAUUCUGGCGCCUGCAGCACUGAAGCCAAGACCAAUAAAACACCCACCUCACAGGAGACAGCUUUAUCUUGUUGAUCGGAAGUCUGCCAGCCCAAUUUAUGAUGGAACAUAAGCUCUCCAAAUCUGAAUUUAUGCGCUGUAGUAUAACGAGAGGUCAAUGGGAUUAAAAGUGGGCUCGUGAGAGAGCCACAGGCGGCUCACUCCUCCGUGCUGCCACAGAAACCUCAUGGCCUGAGUCUCUGAGUCCCAAGGGAGGACAGCCCAGCCCAGCACCAGGACAGGAAAAAGGAAGGCAGGGGAGAGACCAGCCUGAGUAGGGGGAAGAGGAUGGGAGGCAGGCAGGAGAAGCAGGGGGAGCAGGGCACAGGGCUGGGGCCACUGAUGGCCCAGGCCAGCAAUGUCUGAUGAGGCAAACACUGGGGGAGAAGGAUAAAGAGAGGGAGGGAGCAGAGGUUGUCGUGCAGGAACAGGAGCGCUUUCUCUCACUGCCAAGCCCUGGGCUAGCCCCUGGCCCCGAGAACAGGUAGGAGGUGGCCCUGAGGCAGGUUGAAGGACAGAGUUCUGACCCUGGCCCAGGGGCACGGUGCCUAAUGAGGUUGCAGUGGGCACACUUCAGUCACCCCACCUCUCCGUCCCCUCCUUGGCACCCUCUGUCUUCACAUCCCCUUGGGUUCCGGGUGAGGGUGAAGGAGGGGUGCGCUCUGUCCAGGUGGGGGUCUGAGCACCCAUCCAGCGUGAGGCUGGCUUUCUGAGCUCAGACUAGACCCUGACUUCAGAAUUUGUACAAAUAAACGAAAUGAAAAGUGCUGG
Long non-coding RNA from Felis catus (domestic cat), 8235 nucleotides. RefSeq lists it as uncharacterized. The record is from RefSeq and is a predicted model, not a curated record. Lineage: Eukaryota; Metazoa; Chordata; Mammalia; Carnivora; Felidae. The transcript has 4 exons.